GAUGAACGCUGGCGGCGUGCUUAACACAUGCAAGUCGAACGAAGACAUCUGAGUGCUUGCACUUGGAUGGACUGAGUGGCGGACGGGUGAGUAACGCGUGGGUAACCUGCCUUAUACAGGGGGAUAACAGUUGGAAACGACUGCUAAUACCGCAUAAGCGCACGGUAUCGCGAUGAUACAGUGUGAAAAACUCCGGUGGUAUAAGAUGGACCCGCGUCUGAUUAGCUUGUUGGUGAGGUAACGGCCCACCAAGGCGACGAUCAGUAGCCGGCCUGAGAGGGUGAACGGCCACAUUGGGACUGAGACACGGCCCAAACUCCUACGGGAGCAGCAGUGGGGAAUAUUGCACAAUGGGGGAAACCCUGAUGCAGCGACGCCGCGUGAGUGAUGAAGUAUUUCGGUAUGUAAAACUCUAUCAGCAGGGAAGAUAAUGACGGUACCUGACUAAGAAGCACCGGCUAAAUACGUGCCAGCAGCCG
RNAcentral lists this ribosomal RNA (479 nucleotides) under uncultured bacterium. RNAcentral describes it as "bacterial SSU rRNA". It matches the Rfam family "Bacterial small subunit ribosomal RNA", at positions 28 to 517 of the family's 1533-position model. The record is from RNAcentral.